AUGAACGCUGGCGGCGUGCCUAAUACAUGCAAGUCGAGCGAACGGACGAGAAGCUUGCUUCUCUGAUGUUAGCGGCGGACGGGUGAGUAACACGUGGAUAACCUACCUAUAAGACUGGGAUAACUUCGGGAAACCGGAGCUAAUACCGGAUAAUAUUUUGAACCGCAUGGUUCAAAAGUGAAGGACGGUCUUGCUGUCACUUAUAGAUGGAUCCGCGCUGCAUUAGCUAGUUGGUAAGGUAACGGCUUACCAAGGCAACGAUGCGUAGCCGACCUGAGAGGGUGAUCGGCCACACUGGAACUGAGACACGGUCCAGACUCCUACGGGAGGCAGCAGUAGGGAAUCUUCCGCAAUGGGCGAAAGCCUGACGGAGCAACGCCGCGUGAGUGAUGAAGGUCUUCGGAUCGUAAAACUCUGUUAUUAGGGAAGAACAUAUGUGUAAGUAACUGUGCACAUCUUGACGGUACCUAAUCAGAAAGCCACGGCUAACUACGUG
Molecule: ribosomal RNA, 496 nt
Filed under: uncultured bacterium
Lineage: Bacteria
Description: partial 16S ribosomal RNA
Rfam family: Bacterial small subunit ribosomal RNA
Source: RNAcentral